GGGUCUGUAGCUCAGUCGGCUAGAGCGCACCCCUGAUAAGGGUGAGGUCGCUGGUUCGAUUCCAGCCAGACCCACCA
This 77-nucleotide transfer RNA is filed under the name Thiospirillum jenense. RNAcentral's name for it is "tRNA-Ile". It matches the Rfam family "tRNA". From Rfam's summary of the family: Transfer RNA (tRNA) molecules are approximately 80 nucleotides in length. The record is from RNAcentral. Lineage: Bacteria; Pseudomonadati; Pseudomonadota; Gammaproteobacteria; Chromatiales; Chromatiaceae.